GGUUAAGCGACUAAGCGUACACGGUGGAUGCCCUGGCAGUCAGAGGCGAUGAAGGACGUGCUAAUCUGCGAUAAGCGUCGGUAAGGUGAUAUGAACCGUUAUAACCGGCGAUUUCCGAAUGGGGAAACCCAGUGUGAUUCGUCACACUAUCAUUAACUGAAUCCAUAGGUUAAUGAGGCGAACCGGGGGAACUGAAACAUCUAAGUACCCCGAGGAAAAGAAAUCAACCGAGAUUCCCCCAGUAGCGGCGAGCGAACGGGGAGCAGCCCAGAGCCUGAAUCAGUGUGUGUGUUAGUGGAAGCGUCUGGAAAGGCGCGCGAUACAGGGUGACAGCCCCGUACACAAAAAUGCACAUAUUGUGAGCUCGAUGAGUAGGGCGGGACACGUGGUAUCCUGUCUGAAUAUGGGGGGACCAUCCUCCAAGGCUAAAUACUCCUGACUGACCGAUAGUGAACCAGUACCGUGAGGGAAAGGCGAAAAGAACCCCGGCGAGGGGAGUGAAAAAGAACCUGAAACCGUGUACGUACAAGCAGUGGGAGCACGCUUAGGCGUGUGACUGCGUACCUUUUGUAUAAUGGGUCAGCGACUUAUAUUCUGUAGCAAGGUUAACCGAAUAGGGGAGCCGAAGGGAAACCGAGUCUUAACUGGGCGUUAAGUUGCAGGGUAUAGACCCGAAACCCGGUGAUCUAGCCAUGGGCAGGUUGAAGGUUGGGUAACACUAACUGGAGGACCGAACCGACUAAUGUUGAAAAAUUAGCGGAUGACUUGUGGCUGGGGGUGAAAGGCCAAUCAAACCGGGAGAUAGCUGGUUCUCCCCGAAAGCUAUUUAGGUAGCGCCUCGUGAAUUCAUCUCCGGGGGUAGAGCACUGUUUCGGCAAGGGGGUCAUCCCGACUUACCAACCCGAUGCAAACUGCGAAUACCGGGGAAUGUUAUCACGGGAGACACACGGCGGGUGCUAACGUCCGUCGUGAAGAGGGAAACAACCCAGACCGCCAGCUAAGGUCCCAAAGUCAUGGUUAAGUGGGAAACGAUGUGGGAAGGCCCAGACAGCCAGGAUGUUGGCUUAGAAGCAGCCAUCAUUUAAAGAAAGCGUAAUAGCUCACUGGUCGAGUCGGCCUGCGCGGAAGAUGUAACGGGGCUAAACCAUG
Molecule: ribosomal RNA, 1149 nt
Filed under: Escherichia coli
Lineage: Bacteria; Pseudomonadati; Pseudomonadota; Gammaproteobacteria; Enterobacterales; Enterobacteriaceae
Description: partial 23S ribosomal RNA
Rfam family: Bacterial large subunit ribosomal RNA
Source: RNAcentral